UACAGAGGGUGCGAACGUUGCUCGGAAUUACUGGGCGUAAAGCGCGUGUAGGCGGAUCCAUAAGUCGGGCGUGAAAUCCCCGGGCUCAACCCGGGAACUGCGUUCGAAACUGUGGGUCUUGAGUGUCGGAGGGGAUGGCGGAAUUCCUGGUGUAGAGGUGAAAUUCGUAGAUAUCAGGAGGAACACCGGUGGCGAAGGCGGCCAUCUGGACGACAACUGACGCUGAGACGCGAAAGCGUGGGGAGCAAACAGG
Molecule: ribosomal RNA, 253 nt
Filed under: uncultured bacterium
Lineage: Bacteria
Description: partial 16S ribosomal RNA
Rfam family: Bacterial small subunit ribosomal RNA
Source: RNAcentral